This 433-nucleotide ribosomal RNA is filed under the name uncultured bacterium. RNAcentral describes it as "partial 16S ribosomal RNA". It matches the Rfam family "Bacterial small subunit ribosomal RNA", at positions 29 to 507 of the family's 1533-position model. The record is from RNAcentral.
AGCGAACGCUGGCGGCAGGCCUAACACAUGCAAGUCGAACGGAUCCUUCGGGAUUAGUGGCGGACGGGUGAGUAACACGUGGGAACGUGCCCUUUAGUUCGGAACAACUCAGGGAAACUUGAGCUAAUACCGGAUGUGCCCUUCGGGGGAAAGAUUUAUCGCCAUUGGAGCGGCCCGCGUCUGAUUAGCUAGUUGGUGAGGUAACGGCCCACCAAGGCGACGAUCAGUAGCUGGUCUGAGAGGAUGAUCAGCCACACUGGGACUGAGACACGGCCCAGACUCCUACGGGAGGCAGCAGUGGGGAAUCUUGCGCAAUGGGCGAAAGCCUGACGCAGCCAUGCCGCGUGAAUGAUGAAGGUCUUAGGAUUGUAAAAUUCUUUCAGCGGGGACGAUAAUGACGGUACCCGCAGAAGAAGCUCCGGCUAACUUCGUG